UAAUUAGUUACUUUAUGAUGCAGCAUGAUUGAUAAUGAUCAGAAAACAGAAGCAGCAGAUGAUAAAAAUGAGAAGAACACCUGAGAAUUCUCAUAAGCAAGUAUGAAAGCUGGGGAGAUGAAAAGAGAAUAAGACAACACAAAUCGAUUGUUAGUUGGAAGACAGCAUUAGAAUGUCCCUGCCUAAGUAACUUUUCCCUCUGCAAAAUUUCUUGGCAGGCUUUCUCCACUUGAUGAAAACCCUGGCUCCCUUUCACUGGUAUCUGAAUUUAUGGCCGUGACUAUUUAUGAGCUGAUAAAAGUACAGAAAUGGGAUAUUUCAGAGCAACAAGAAAACAUAAUAAUAAAGUUUCCAGCCUCUUUUUCUUGGAUAUAA
Molecule: long non-coding RNA, 375 nt
Filed under: Chloebia gouldiae (Gouldian finch)
Lineage: Eukaryota; Metazoa; Chordata; Aves; Passeriformes; Passeridae
Description: Erythrura gouldiae (Gouldian finch) lncRNA (ENSEGOG00005000466.1)
Source: RNAcentral